CACAUCCUCCUGGAUGCCAGUCGGGUUCAUUAACCCCUGAGCCACGACGGGAACUCCUGUGGGCACCGUUUGAUUUCCUCAUCGUGGAGCAGAGCUCCAUCGAGACCACAGCUGAAAGCAACCUAAGAGGCCUUGGUGGUGAUGCUUGAACACACCUGUGUCCUCAUGGCGCCACCUACAGGUGGGCCCUGGGCCCGGGUGGGAGCUGUGGCCGGCAGAGCAUCUUGGCCUCUGACUCAGCGGUGCUGUUUUCCGCCUGGGAGUGCCAGUCACACCCACUGCCCGAUGGCCCCUUGGUGCUCAGAGCGGUCCCUGUGCUGACCCUGGCGGCCCCCUGUGACGGAGCCCACGGCUCCCUGCGGCGCUCGAGAUGACACAGGCUGCUCUCAGGAGCCUGUGAAGCCCUCAUCCUUGGUGAGUCCGGGGGCCCAGCUGACCCCUCUUUCUUACCUUCGUGGGAGGGUGGACUUUGAACCCCCGACUCUCCAGGGGUCCGGGUGGGUUUGGGACGAGCAAAGGCCCAGGGCUUCGCAGUGGAAGGAGGACACUCCAGAAGCAGUGAGACUUGUGCUCCGUCUGUCACCUCCUUGCAGUCACCCAGGGCAGGUCCAGGGAGACCAGCAGCCUUUCUGAAAUUAGUGCCACUAACUGGGCUACUGGUGAGAACCAACAAGGCUCCUUGCUGGCCUAGAAAUGGCAGCUCCCGGCUGCACACCUGCAGUCCUGACUGGGGCAGCAGCGCGGGCUGGGGUCAGGGGCAGGGAGACCCUGAGCUGGGGACCCCGUGUGCCGCUUUUAGGGCUCAGGAAGGAUCAGAGGUGUGGGGCAGGUCUCUGAGGAGGAUGGGGGUGCAGGAGGAGGGCAUGUCUUGACCAGGUGGCACCUGCAGCCUGGUGCUGUCUGGAUGUCACACUGCCCCAUGGCCUUGCUGGGCAGGGGCUGGGGCCAGGGCCAGCCUCUCACCCAGUCCCUUCUCAGUGUGCAGGGAGUACUGGUGACCCAGCGCCACCCCCACUGCUGCCAGUUCUCCCUCAGGGUCCUCUGGAGGCCGGGGCUCUCCACGCAUGGCGCCCCAGCAAGGGAGCACACAGCCCCGGCAGAUCCAGCCUGAUGUGCAGGUAUGACGAGGCCCGUGUGAGACCACCUCCCCUUUGCAGCUUCUCUUCAGACCUUGGUGGGACAGAUCCUACACAUAGUCCUUCCAGGGCCACAGGCCUGGCCUCCGGUGAGGAAACUCAAAGACAAAUGGCCUACACUGCAGGACCCAGGCCUGGUGGGGGACAGCAGGGGCCCAGCCUGCCAGCACUCCAUCCCAGGGUGGACAUGGGACCUUUGGGGUUACAACAGACUGAGCCCCCUCCUGAAGCACAGUGACAGUGGCCACAGGGGGCAUACCAACUUAUUUCCUAUCCCUGGAAACAAAACUGGCAUAGGCAAAUGCAGGCAUUGGAAGAUACCAGAGAGGUUUUUAAUUUCCCCCAGUUAAACAGAGCUCUUAAAAAACAGGUAGUUGUUGCAGUUCCCUUCGAGACUGAGCGGUUAAUGAAGCCAACUAGCAUCCAGGAGGAUGUGGGUUUGCUCCCUGGCCUCGCUCAGUGGGUUAAGAAUCCGGUAUUGCCGUGAGCUGUGGUGUAGGUUGCAGACGCUGCUUGGAUCCAGCGUUGCUGUGGCUGUGGGGUAGGCCGGUGGCUGUAGCUCCGAUUCCACCCUGAGCCUGGGAACCUCCAUAUGCUGCGGGUUCAGCCCUAAGAAGCCAAAAAAAAAAAAAAAAGGUAGUUCUUGAAUAAUCUUUGAAAUUUUGAAAAUUUUGCAAUGAUUUUUUUUUAAAGUAUAGUUGAUUUUAUUUAUUUAUUUAUUGUCUUUGUAGGACCACACCUGUGUCAUGUGGCGGUUCACAGGCUAGGGGCUGAAUCGGAGCUAUAGCCGCUAGCCUACACCACAGCAACGUGGGAUUUGAGCCACGUUUGCUGCCUACACCACAGCUCAUGGCAACGCUGGAUCCUUAACCUGCUGAGCAAGACCAGGGAUCGAACCUGUAUCCUCAUGGAUACUAGUCAGAUUUGUUUCCACUGAGCCACAAGGGGAACUCCCUGAAAAUGAUUUUCGAAAGUAACUUAAGCUCUUAUACUCACAUGUGGAAAACAAACAACAAAUGACACCAGGG
This 2164-nucleotide long non-coding RNA is filed under the name Sus scrofa (pig). RNAcentral describes it as "lncRNA (ENSSSCG00030063011.1)". Lineage: Eukaryota; Metazoa; Chordata; Mammalia; Artiodactyla; Suidae. The record is from RNAcentral.